CACGUAGGGGGCAAGCGUUGUUCGGAAUUAUUGGGCGUAAAGGGCAUGUAGGCGGUUUGGUAAGCCUGAUGUGAAAUCCUGCAGCUUAACUGUAGAACUGCAUUGGGUACUGCCGAACUUGAAUCACUGAGGGGAAACUAGAAUUCCAGGUGUAGGGGUGGAAUCUGUAGAUAUCUGGAAGAAUACCGGUGGCGAAGGCGGGUUUCUAGCAGAUGAUUGACGCUGAGGUGCGAAAGUGCGGGGAGCGAACAGGAUUAGAUACCCUGGUAGUCCGCACCGUAAACGAUGUACACUAGGUGUCGGGGCAUGAGUCUCGGUGCCAAAGCUAACGUAAUAAGUGUACCGCCUGGGAAGUAUGCCCGCAAGGGUGAA
Molecule: ribosomal RNA, 372 nt
Filed under: uncultured bacterium
Lineage: Bacteria
Description: bacterial SSU rRNA
Rfam family: Bacterial small subunit ribosomal RNA
Source: RNAcentral